Molecule: ribosomal RNA, 253 nt
Filed under: uncultured bacterium
Lineage: Bacteria
Description: partial 16S ribosomal RNA
Rfam family: Bacterial small subunit ribosomal RNA
Source: RNAcentral
UACGUAGGGUGCAAGCGUUGUCCGGAAUUAUUGGGCGUAAAGAGCUCGUAGGCGGUCUGUCGCGUCGGACGUGAAAAUCCAGGGCUCAACCCUGGACCUGCGUUCGAUACGGGCAGACUAGAGUUCGGUAGGGGAGACUGGAAUUCCUGGUGUAGCGGUGAAAUGCGCAGAUAUCUGGAGGAACACCGGUGGCGAAGGCGGCAUCCUGGACCAUUAUUGACGCUGAGGAGCGAAAGCCAGGGGAGCAAACGGG